AAGUCGUAACAAGGUUUCCGUAGGUGAACCUGCGGAAGGAUCAUUAUUGAAUAUUCCUGAUGAGUUGUAGCUGGCUCUUUGGAGCAUGUGCACGCUUGUCUUGAUCUUAUUCAUCCACCUGUGCACAUUUUGUAGUCUUUUGGGCUGAGUCGAGUAUCGGAUGGAUGUCUAUCCGGAUGUGAGGACUGCUGAGUGCGAAAGCAUACGGCUCUUCUCUGUUUGACCUCACCCUUGAGUACUAUGUAUUCAUAUACUACAUAGUAUGUUGUAGAAUGUGAUCAUUGGGCCUUUGUGCCUAUAAUAAUCAUAUACAACUUUCAGCAACGGAUCUCUUGGCUCUC
This 341-nucleotide unclassified non-coding RNA is filed under the name Apioperdon pyriforme. RNAcentral describes it as "Lycoperdon pyriforme partial internal transcribed spacer region". The stretch from base 1 to 46 matches the Rfam family "Eukaryotic small subunit ribosomal RNA", at positions 1786 to 1831 of the family's 1831-position model. Lineage: Eukaryota; Fungi; Basidiomycota; Agaricomycetes; Agaricales; Lycoperdaceae. The record is from RNAcentral.